Molecule: ribosomal RNA, 253 nt
Filed under: uncultured bacterium
Lineage: Bacteria
Description: partial 16S ribosomal RNA
Rfam family: Bacterial small subunit ribosomal RNA
Source: RNAcentral
UACGUAGGGCGCAAGCGUUAUCCGGAAUUAUUGGGCGUAAAGAGCUCGUAGGCGGUUUGUCGCGUCUGCCGUGAAAGUCCGGGGCUCAACUCCGGAUCUGCGGUGGGUACGGGCAGACUAGAGUGAUGUAGGGGGAGACUGGAAUUCCUGGUGUAGCGGUGAAAUGCGCAGAUAUCAGGAGGAACACCGAUGGCGAAGGCAGGUCUCUGGGCAUUAACUGACGCUGAGGAGCGAAAGCUGGGGAGCGAACAGG